AGUGAACGCUGGCGGUAGGCCUAACACAUGCAAGUCGAACGGCAGCACAGUAAGAGCUUGCUCUUACGGGUGGCGAGUGGCGGACGGGUGAGGAAUACAUCGGAAUCUACUUUUUCGUGGGGGAUAACGUAGGGAAACUUACGCUAAUACCGCAUACGACCUACGGGUGAAAGCAGGGGAUCUUCGGACCUUGCGCGAUUGAAUGAGCCGAUGUCGGAUUAGCUAGUUGGCGGGGUAAAGGCCCACCAAGGCGACGAUCCGUAGCUGGUCUGAGAGGAGGGUCAGCCACACUGGAACUGAGACACGGUCCAGACUCCUACGGGAGGCAGCAGAGGGGAAUAUUGGACAAUGGGCGCAAGCCUGAUCCAGCCAGACCGCGUGGGUGAAGAAGGCCUUGGGGUUGUAAAGCCCUUUUGUUGGGAAAGAAAAGCAGCAGGUUAAUACCCCGCUGUUCUGACGGUACCCAAAGAAUAAGCACCGGCUAACUUCGUG
RNAcentral lists this ribosomal RNA (492 nucleotides) under uncultured bacterium. RNAcentral describes it as "partial 16S ribosomal RNA". It matches the Rfam family "Bacterial small subunit ribosomal RNA", at positions 29 to 507 of the family's 1533-position model. The record is from RNAcentral.